Molecule: ribosomal RNA, 503 nt
Filed under: uncultured bacterium
Lineage: Bacteria
Description: bacterial SSU rRNA
Rfam family: Bacterial small subunit ribosomal RNA
Source: RNAcentral
AACGAACGCUGGCGGCGUGGAUUAGGCAUGCAAGUCGUACGCGAAAGAGGGAGCAAUCCCUUGAGUAGAGUGGCGAACGGGUGAGUAACGCGUGAGAAACCUGCCUUUGACAGGGGGAUAACACUCCCAACGGGGUGCUAAUACCGCAUGAGACCACGGGAUCGCAUGAUCCUGAGGUCAAAGAUGGCCUCUAUUUAUAAGCUAUCGGUCGAAGAUGGUCUCGCGUCCCAUUAGCUUGUUGGCGGUGUAAAAGACCACCAAGGCGACGAUGGGUAGCUGGUCUGAGAGGAUGGUCAGCCACACUGGGACUGAGAUACGGCCCAGACUCCUACGGGAGGCAGCAGUCGAGAGGCUUCGGCAAUGGGGGAAACCCUGACCGAGCGACGCCGCGUGGAGGAUGAAGGCCCUUGGGUUGUAAACUCCUUUUAUUCGGGAAGAAGUGCGAUCAGGUGAAUAAUCUGGUCGUUUGACGGUACCGGAUGAAUAAGCUCCGGCUAACUCCG